CCAGACUCCUACGGGAGGCAGCAGUGAGGAAUAUUGGUCAAUGGCCGCAGGGCUGAACCGGCCAAGUCGCGUGAGGGAUGACGGUCCUAUGGAUUGUAAACCUCUUUUGUCAGGGAGCAAAGGGCGCCACGUGUGGCGUUUUGCGAGUACCUGAAGAAAAAGCAUCGGCUAACUCCGUGCCAGCAGCCGCGGUAAUACGGAGGAUGCGAGCGUUAUCCGGAUUUAUUGGGUUUAAAGGGUGCGCAGGCGGUCUGUUAAGUCAGCGGUCAAAGCCCGGGGCUCAACCCCGGCCCACCGUUGAAACUGGCAGUCUCGAGUUGGAGAGAAGUAUGCGGAAUGCGCGGUGUAGCGGUGAAAUGCAUAGAUAUCGCGCAGAACUCCGAUUGCGAAGGCAGCAUGCCGGCUCCACACUGACGCUGAGGCACGAAAGCGUGGGUAUCGAACAGGAUUAGAUACCCUCGUA
RNAcentral lists this ribosomal RNA (463 nucleotides) under uncultured bacterium. RNAcentral describes it as "bacterial SSU rRNA". It matches the Rfam family "Bacterial small subunit ribosomal RNA", at positions 331 to 792 of the family's 1533-position model. The record is from RNAcentral.